Molecule: ribosomal RNA, 506 nt
Filed under: uncultured bacterium
Lineage: Bacteria
Description: SSU rRNA
Rfam family: Bacterial small subunit ribosomal RNA
Source: RNAcentral
AGGACGAACGCUGGCGGCGCGCUUAACACAUGCAAGUCGAGCGAGAACCUGGCCUUCGGGCCUGGGGAAAGCGGCGAACGGGUGAGUAACACGUGGGUAACCCACCCUUGGUACCGGGAUAGCCCGAGGAAACUCGGAUUAAUACCGGAUGGCCCAACAGCUCUUCGGGGCGGUUGGAAAAGGUAGCUUCGGCCUCCGACCAAGGACGGGCCCGCGGCGGAUUAGCUUGUUGGUGAGGUAACGGCUCACCAAGGCGACGAUCCGUAGCUGGUCUGAGAGGACGAUCAGCCACACUGGGACUGAGACACGGCCCAGACUCCUACGGGAGGCAGCAGUGGGGAAUCUUGCGCAAUGGGCGAAAGCCUGACGCAGCGACGCCGCGUGGGGGAAGAAGGCUUUCGGGUUGUAAAACCCCUUUCAGGAAGGACGAAGCCACUCGGGUGAAUAGCCCAGAGGGUGACGGUACUUCCAGAAGAAGCCCCGGCUAACUACGUGCCAGCAGCCGC